RNAcentral lists this ribosomal RNA (189 nucleotides) under uncultured bacterium. Its description in RNAcentral is "partial 16S ribosomal RNA". It matches the Rfam family "Bacterial small subunit ribosomal RNA", at positions 338 to 524 of the family's 1533-position model. The record is from RNAcentral.
CCUACGGGAGGCAGCAGUGAGGAAUAUUGGGCAAUGCCCGCAAGGGUGACCCAGCAACGCCGCGUGGAGGAUGAAGGCCGUAAGGUUGUAAACUCCUGUUAGAGGGGAAGAAUAGUACCGGUUGGACCGGUAUAUGACUGUACCCUCAGAGAAAGCCCCGGCUAACUACGUGCCAGCAGCCGCGGUAAU